AGUGAACGUUGGCGGCGUGCUUAACACAUGCAAGUCGAACGAGAACGGAAUAUAGCUUGCUAUAUUUGUCAGCUAAGUGGCGCACGGGUGAGUAAUGUAUAGAUAACCUGCCCUUAAGAAAGGAAUAACAGUUGGAAACGACUGCUAAUGCCCUAUAUGCCUUUAAUACAUAAGUAUGCAAGGGAAACGCUUUAGUGCUUGAGGAUGGGUCUGUAUGGUAUCAGCUUGUUGGUGAGGUAAUGGCUCACCAAGGCUAUGACGCCUAACUGGUUUGAGAGGAUGAGCAGUCACACUGGAACUGAGACACGGUCCAGACUCCUACGGGAGGCAGCAGUGGGGAAUAUUGCACAAUGGACGAAAGUCUGAUGCAGCAACGCCGCGUGGAGGAUGACACAUUUCGGUGCGUAAACUCCUUUUAUAUAGGAAGAUAAUGACGGUACUAUAUGAAUAAGCACCGGCUAACUCCGUGCCAGCAGCCGCCGUAA
Molecule: ribosomal RNA, 485 nt
Filed under: uncultured bacterium
Lineage: Bacteria
Description: partial 16S ribosomal RNA
Rfam family: Bacterial small subunit ribosomal RNA
Source: RNAcentral